UCGGGAAUCUUGCACAAUGGGCGAAAGCCUGAUGCAGCAACGCCGUGUGAGCGACGAAGGCCCUAGGGUCGUAAAGCUCUGUUGUUAGGGACGAAGGGCGAAGGGUUAAUAGCCCUUAGCCUGACGGUACCUUUCGAGGAAGCCCCGGCUAACUACGUGCCAGCAGCCGCGGUAAUACGUAGGGGGCGAGCGUUGUCCGGAAUUAUUGGGCGUAAAGGGCGCGUAGGCGGCCCGGUAAGUCUGCUGUGAAACCCUGGGGCUCAACCCCAGGCGUGCAGUGGAUACUGUCGGGCUAGAGGAUGGUAGAGGCCAGUGGAAUUCCCAGUGUAGCGGUGAAAUGCGCAGAUAUUGGGAGGAACACCAGUAGCGAAGGCGGCUGGCUGGGCCAUUCCUGACGCUG
RNAcentral lists this ribosomal RNA (400 nucleotides) under uncultured bacterium. Its description in RNAcentral is "bacterial SSU rRNA". It matches the Rfam family "Bacterial small subunit ribosomal RNA", at positions 355 to 748 of the family's 1533-position model. The record is from RNAcentral.